This 339-nucleotide unclassified non-coding RNA is filed under the name soil metagenome. RNAcentral's name for it is "partial contains 5.8S ribosomal RNA, internal transcribed spacer 2, and large subunit ribosomal RNA". The stretch from base 1 to 120 matches the Rfam family "5.8S ribosomal RNA", at positions 35 to 154 of the family's 154-position model. The record is from RNAcentral.
GAUGAAGAACGUAGCGAAAUGCGAUACGUAGUGUGAAUUGCAGAAUUCAGGGAAUCAUCGAAUCUUUGAACGCACAUUGCACCUCUCGGUAUUCCGGGAGGUAUGCCUGUUCGAGCGUCAUUUGUACCCUCAAGCUCUGCUUGGUGUUGGGUGUUUGUUCCGCCUCUGUGUGUGAACUCGCCUCAAAACAAUUGGCAGCCGGCGUACUUGUUUCGGAGCGCAGCACAUUUUGCGAUCCAGAUCAACGUACAGCGGCAUCCAAGAAGCCUUAUUUAACGCUCUUGACCUCGGAUCAGGUAGGGAUACCCGCUGAACUUAAGCAUAUCAAUAAGCGGAGGA